Molecule: long non-coding RNA, 378 nt
Filed under: Pongo abelii (Sumatran orangutan)
Lineage: Eukaryota; Metazoa; Chordata; Mammalia; Primates; Hominidae
Description: lincRNA
Source: RNAcentral
GCUGUGAAAUUGUUCUGUCUUUGAAAAAAAAAUAUCUGAGGCACCUCGCCUUGACUGGUAAAGCAAAGAAAACUGGAUAGGAGAAGGCCUGUGUUUAGGGCAUCAAUGGCUAACUGUCAGCAGGGACAACAGCCGUUAUCCCAUAUCCAGUAAGUACAACAGACUUGCUGCAGUUUUACAUCCAGUUCACUGAUCAACUAUCAAACUGAAGGAUAGCUUGUCACUGCAUCUGCAGUGACUCACUUGCCUUGGGGAAAUAUACAUGUCACACAUUUACAUUUUGGCUUUUAAGUGAGGAAACUUCAUGGUUUUCAGAACAGAGUGAGAUUCUUGAAAACUGAAACAAUAAAUCCAAUGCUGAUUGUGAUCACUGAUGAA